GAAAGGGUACGGAUACCGAAACGUACCUGGCGAGCAAAGCGCAAGCCCCUAUUAAA
Molecule: non-coding RNA, 56 nt
Filed under: [Clostridium] scindens VE202-05
Lineage: Bacteria; Bacillati; Bacillota; Clostridia; Lachnospirales; Lachnospiraceae
Source: RNAcentral